UGAUGCUCAGGCAAUGUGCUCCCGGG
This 26-nucleotide non-coding RNA is filed under the name Mus musculus (house mouse). Lineage: Eukaryota; Metazoa; Chordata; Mammalia; Rodentia; Muridae. The record is from RNAcentral.